CAUUUUUAUAACCUUAUGUCUGAAAUAAAAGCACACACCUAGUCGCAUGCGCAUAAUGUGCUAAAAUUUGAGCUUGAUGAGCCUUGAACUUGAGACAUGCCUGAAGCGCUUUUAAUAACUAUGGUUGUGAAUAACAAACCACAUUAAGAGAAUCCACUUCAAUCAUAAUUCUUCUGAACCCUCUAGAAUGAACAAGAAUCAGCGCUUCCCUACACGGUAACGCCUCCAAGAUUAGAGGAUCAACAAUGUUUUGGAAAAUGUUGACAAGACCAGCUGCAGAGCAUACUCUUUG
Molecule: unclassified non-coding RNA, 292 nt
Filed under: Hevea brasiliensis (rubber tree)
Lineage: Eukaryota; Viridiplantae; Streptophyta; Magnoliopsida; Malpighiales; Euphorbiaceae
Source: RNAcentral